CGAAAGCCUGACGGAGCAACGCCGCGUGAGGGAUGAAGGCCUCUGGGCUGUAAACCUCUUUUCUCAAGGAAGAAGAUCUGACGGUACUUGAGGAAUAAGCCACGGCUAAUUCCGUGCCAGCAGCCGCGGUAAUACGGGAGUGGCAAGCGUUAUCCGGAAUUAUUGGGCGUAAAGCGUCCGCAGGUGGCUCUGUAAGUCUGUCGUUAAAACGUGGAGCUUAACUCCAUUUCAGCGGUGGAAACUACAGAGCUUGAGUGUGGUAGGGGCAGAGGGAAUUCCCGGUGUAGCGGUGAAAUGCGUAGAUAUCGGGAAGAACACCAGUGGCGAAGGCGCUCUGCUGGGCCAUAACUGACGCUCAUGGACGAAAGCCAGGGGAGCG
Molecule: ribosomal RNA, 379 nt
Filed under: uncultured cyanobacterium
Lineage: Bacteria; Bacillati; Cyanobacteriota
Description: bacterial SSU rRNA
Rfam family: Bacterial small subunit ribosomal RNA
Source: RNAcentral